RNAcentral lists this long non-coding RNA (1458 nucleotides) under Salmo salar (Atlantic salmon). RNAcentral's name for it is "lncRNA (ENSSSAG00000112939.1)". The record is from RNAcentral. Lineage: Eukaryota; Metazoa; Chordata; Actinopteri; Salmoniformes; Salmonidae.
GUCAUGCGGCGAGCACAGGCAGGCUGGGUUUGUUUGCCUGACUGCCCUCCAGGAAUUAUAGCUGGGACACAGAAACACUCCUUUAUAAGCCCACAGGCUGUUGGAGCCACUGCAGAGAAGAUAGGGGGAGAGGAGGAGGGAAGACCGAAUGAGUGGAGCGAUGAGGAGAGAUCGAGAGGAGGAUUAUGACAAAGGAGGCUAAUCGAUUGAGGCCUGCUGAAGUGUGAUACUGUACUAAACGUUGAUGACUUAUUGAUCCAUCCAGACUGGAUUAAAACUCGCUGGAUCGUGGAUUGUUUAGGUAGCCUGUCCUGCGUCCCCCUCUCUCUCUCUCUCUCUCUCUCCCUCCCGCCCUCUCUCAGGCGUACUAAACACUGCAGGCAACACUAGGGAUAUGAACUCACAUACUGGUUUGCAGAUAGUUAUGUGAGACUGCAGUAUAGGGUUCAGUGAAUAAUUAAGAAUUUUGUUGUUGCUCCAGUGAACGGCAUACUUCACCACUUCUCUCUCUCAUACACACAAACACAUCAUUUCAUUCUACUUGUACACACAAAUAACCAAAUGAUACUAUAUUCAUGUCUACACACACGUCACACACACCUGUACUAAGUGACGUUUGCCUACAGCUCAUUAAAACGCACAGUCUCAAUUAUUCAGUAGGUCUGAACAGGUUUUGUCUGGAGGAAUAGAAAAAAGAUGGAGAGAUGGAGGUGAAGAUGGAGGGAUAGAGAUGGAGGUGCAGAUGGAGGGAUAGCGGUGCAGAUGGAGGGAUAGCGGUGCAGAUGGAGGAAUAGCGGUGAAGAUGGAGAUAUAGCGGUGAAGAUGGAGGUGAAGAUGGAGGGAUGGAGGUGAAGAUGGAGGGAUGGAGGUGAAGAUGGAGGGAUGGAGGUGAAGAUGGAGGGAUGGAGGUGAAGAUGGAGGGAUAGAAGUGAAGAUGGAGGGAUAGAGGUGAAGAUGGAGGGAUAGAGGUGAAGAUGGAGGGAUGGAGGGAUAGAGGUGAAGAUGGAGAGAGAGGUGAAGAUGGAGGGAUAGAGAUGGAGGUGAAGAUGGAGGGAUAGAGGUGGAGAGAUGAAGGGGCAGGGAUAGGUGGAGUAACUUGAACCCUAAACCUAUACAGAAUAAAAUGCAAGAAAGUUUUGGUGAUGUAGGACAUUUUGUCCUUUCCAGCAUGUCCUUCUAGUGAUGUUCAGGGCACAUAGCUCCAAGCUGUACCCCAUUCUGGCUUCAAGCUCCGGUCCACAGUGCUCUGUUUUAGUCACUCUCACACACACACAUUCACCCCUUUGUACCCUCCAACACACACACACACACAGACAUAGACACAUAGACACACACAGACAUAGACACACGGACACACACACACACACACACACGUAGACACACACACGCAUACAGUAUAUGGAAACACACACAUGUCCUGCUUUAAGCUCAGGUCUAUACUGCUCCCAUGAUGCCCAG